Molecule: non-coding RNA, 5065 nt
Organism: Anas platyrhynchos (mallard)
Lineage: Eukaryota; Metazoa; Chordata; Aves; Anseriformes; Anatidae
Source: RefSeq, a predicted model, not a curated record
CCCUCCAGCCAGUGGACUGCAUGCUUCCAUGGAGACAUGGCACUCCCUGCCUCUUCCCUCGGAGCAGAGUCUUGGAGCAGAAGAGAAACAAGCUUCAGAGGGCCAGAGAGAGAGAACAAGCAAGAAGCACCUCUAAGCCAUGGAGGAAGAACAGAUCGCUUUUAUGGAAGAAUAAAGAUCAUGAUUCUUAAAGAGAAAACCAAAGGUAAACUGUAUGAGUCAAGCUGGAAGCUUAUGACACCCUGCUGAACAAGAGCAGAAAUGAGUUCAGGUCAGCAGCAUGACGGUAAGUGAGAAAUGGUAUAAAUAACCUGACUUUAUGUAACCAACACCCUUCAGGCCAUGCCAGGACACCUGGUAGCCCAACACAGAGCAGGGCUAGCAGGGUGCUGAGACAACACACAAGCACAACUGAGGACAGGACCUCAAAUCAUGCCAGACAUCAGUCUCAAAGCCACUUAGAUGUCAUCCAGGUAAAUCACAGUGUGAUGGAGGAGCUGCUACAGAGAUCUGUCAAUGAGGUCUUCAAAUCUAAGAAAAAUGAAACCGUGAGAGCUUUCUUUAAAAAUUCAAUGGUAGUACCCUUCUUCUCUUUCCACAUAAAAUAGGGUUAGAUGGCAGCUGUUACUCACUACAUAAUGCUGUACCUGCAUGCAGUUCAUGAAGUGAGAGCAGCUCGGUAACUCAGAGCAUUGUGAAGCAGUGAGAGAUGUGUGGGCUAUUUGAGAGGGCAUUUCUUCCCUGUUUUUCUUUACCCCUUUAUUUUAUAUCCAGAACAUACCAAUAACACGCAGAGAGAGCACUGGUCUGAUAACUGGAGCUGCAAACAAUUAGUAGUCAUAACUUAAGAAGGAAAACCAUCAACCUCUCUCUAAAUGCCAUAAAAAGAACACUUGAGUUCUCAGUGUUUUGUGAUAAAUUCUCGGUAUGCUUUCUUUUUAGCAAUUUCCAAAGAAAGUGAGAAAAUAGUUCAAGGAAAGAGUUUAUAAAAAUAUUGGACUACAGAUUAUGUAGUGCGUAAGCCAGGUGGUGCUGAAUUUGUUACAGAAUUACAACAACAGCAAUCAUCAGUUUUCUCUUCCUGCUCACCUCAAAAACAUGCAUCCUCCCAGGCACAAGAAGAAAAAAAAUGAUGGUUUUGGUGAUUUGAAAAAUCUGUUCAACACUGUCAGAAAUUUUAAGCAUUAAUCAGAGUUGUCUGGAUAGCUACAAGGCAGAGUAGAUAUUUUCCCCUAUCUUAAAGUUAGAUUUUUGUUUAGCCCCUCUAAUUUUGUAUCUUUAGUGUUUAUUAAAAUCUGUUACUUCACCGUAUUCUCAGUCAAUUCAAGGUAGCUUUUUGUUUGCCAUUUCUGAGAAACGGUAACAACAAACCUCUGAUACUAUGGUAAGUCUAUUGAGCGUUCCUAAAUUGGUUGAAGGAAGGAAGCUCCAUGAUGAGCAAAAAUUACAGCUCCUGCAGAGGAAAAUUGGAGCCUGAGAAGAACGAGAGACUUGGUGUAGAGCUUAAUAGAACCAAUCUGUAGGAGUACCUAUAGUUCUGCCUCCUGCUUUGACUCACAGUACAUCGACAUUCUGCAGAGUCUUAUCUCAAGUCAGGUGAGAAGGCAUGAAAUACUUACCAUGAGUCAAAAGAGAUGCAUCAAUAGAACAUUAAUUUGAAAGAAAAAGCAGAGGUAACUAUAAAAUAUAUCACCCUGUUGUUUAUUUGUGUGAUUAGGAGAGCAGUUUCCUUUAACCACAAGAUGUAGGAGAUAGAGCAUCACUCUCCAGGUCAGACCAAGAGCACAGACUGCACCUUCCUCCAUCGGGGAGACUUCUCAGACUCAACGUGAUGCAGAGGGAACCAGAUCACAUCUGCACCACUAAGAAGAAAGCACCUAUAGUUAAGGUAGACAAGGACUGCUGUAGAGUCAGCUAAAAGGAUUCCAUAAAGCCUUUUCUAACCAGUUGAUACUCAGCUCCGAUAUAUUCAUCAUGCAGCACGAUGAGCAGCAAUGACUUGAAUCCAGGACACAUUUAAUCUCUUAUAGUUCUUAAGGUUGCCUUUUAAUCAUUUUCACUUUACUAUUAUUGUAGAAACACAUGAUGGAGUUAAAACAUUUCUAUUACAUAUAUGAGAUCUGUCAUUGUACUUCCCCCCCUCUUUCUAGCUUUUCUUGAUAGCAGGUGUGCAUCUAGAUUGAAGACCAGAUUUUGUGCAGUGCAGCAGCACAGAUGCUGGUUUGUUUCUUUUUAAUGUUGUUUCUUUUUAAUCUUUUAUAUCACACAACAAAGGACAGAGGCCAUAACCAACUGCAAACUGAAAUGGUGACAGCAAAGACUAAAACUGCAGUUUUGAGGAAAACCAUGGGUAGCUGGAAAAAAAUGUACCGCAGCAUAAAAGUAACCCCAGAAAGCUUGUGCCAUACUGGACCUGAAAUCAGUAUCUCGAGUCUGGGUAUGGAGGAGAUAACACAUUUCUGGAAACAAACUCAUCCUUCUGUGUACUUUUCUUGGCUUUAUUCCCUUCUGGUUACUUUCCUAACAAAGUUUGUUUAUGUGUUUUAAGUUUACACUUUGGAAAAAAGCAUGAAGCAAUUAAUCUAAUAGGAUUCAGUACUAAAAUCCUGGGGACAUAACUGUUAGCAAACUUUUCAAGUAGUGUGCAGAUAAAUUGCAGAUUUUUUUUUAUAGAACUCCUAUUUUCUUUCACUUUCUGAACUGCAUGAGAUAAUUUUCUAUUUUUAAGGGACAGAUCAUGAUAUAACCAAACAAGCUGGGAUUCAUCCUCCCACAUCAGCUGUAAUAAGGCUCAAUGGCAGAAGCAGUAAUAAAACCUAAACCAAAUUCCUUUAUACAACUUCAAGUUCACCUUCACUUCUCAGGAGGAGGCCUAAAAAACACUGACUCAUAGGCCACAUACCACCUCUGCUUUCGUGUGCAAUUUACCACUGAGAAGGAAAUAACAAGCAAAUAACAAGUGACCUCACCUGCUACCACAUGAGACAAACUAGGGACCUGCAUCUCUUGUUGCCUCCAAGCCCUAGAAGUGCUAAAAGCUGGAACUCCCAACAUUUUUUCAUCCUCUGGUCUUGUGCACGCUGCUCUUCUUAGGACUCUGCUUAUUUCCAAUUACUCCUGCUCAAGAGUUUAAUUUAAAAUGUAUAUUGAGGGUUAAAUUAACUUUGUGCCUUAGAGUAAACACAUUAUCUACAGUAAAAUCUGGAGAUAAGUCAUUGUUCUCAGCUUCUACACUUUAAUCUGAAAGAGGAUGAAUUUUCAGUAAUGAAGAGUUCAGUAUUCAUGCAUUGAGUCAAAACCAUAGAACUGAAAUAUCAAAGCAUGUGAAGAAAUCUCUGAUCUUUACAUCAAAGUCCACUGAACAGAAGAGACCCUCUUUGCAGCAGUGAAUGUCAGUGAAGGUCGUGCAGCUUCCACCUUUACUUAGAUAAACAAAAGCAUUGAUGUGUUGAAGAACCCAAUGCCAGUUGCUUCUGAAGCCAAAUGCUGAAAGUUUUAAGAAAAUGUGUUCUGUACAUAUCUGAUAUCUCAUGAAUACAAAAAGAAACUCAGGUUUUGUAGGAAAUGCCUGCUUGCAUGGAUCCAAACCAGAAUGCGUGGGAUGCACACUCAUUGUUUCUUAGGCACAAGUGCAUCCAGCUUAGAUCCUCACCCUACAGCUAUUUUGCUGUUUUUCACUCAAUGAAGUCCCAGGAUUAACCAGAAUCUAGGUCUUCCAGCUGCAGAAUCACAAACUCACCCACUGGUCUAACAAAUAUCUUCCUAAAUUUUAAAUAAAGGUUAAAUGGCUUUACCAAGAGAUACUAAUGAGCUAAAAUAUGUGAAACUAAAGCUCCCCCAGAAAGAACGAAAACCCUUAUUAAAAUCUCUUUCCAAAUCAGGCCUAACAAACUUUUAAACUAGCUUUUGAACUAGCUGCUCACAUUCCAAGCAAAUCCUCUAAAUGCUUAAAAAAAUGAAAAACAAAAAACACCAACAAAAAACAACCCUAUUACUAAACCAGUACGGAUGCUUAUUUCCAGAAAAAUACUUACCUUCCAUAUAAUAACAGAACCUUCCAUUGUCUCCUCUUCUGAGCAAGGUGCUCCACUUUUUCCUCUGUAGUCUUGUUGUUGUCCCCUCUUCUUCCUCCUGUUUAAUAAAAGAACCUCCCCAGCCAAGAUCAUUUUAGACUCCCUUUAAAAGUUAUGUACAACUCUUCUGCUGUGUAUGAGGCUGCUCUCUAAGCACGUUGCAUACUUCAUCUUUAUUUGCAUUUCCUUUGACCACAGAGACUCAAAAGCAGUUGUAACAACUUCCUAAAAGGAACUGAAGUAGGAAAUAUGCUUUUCAGCUGCCUGCUAAAACACUAAAUACAGGCAAUACCCUCCCUACUCCUGCCUAACCAGGCUAUCUCCAGUCUUGCUGAACAAACUUAACAUUCCUGCAGAUUUAGUCAACAAAAAGCCAAAGCAGCAUUCUUAAAUUUGCAAACGAUAGCCAGAAUAAACAAAAAUGCACAAUUAAAUGCUACAGCUAUGUAGUAGCUCUCAUCCAUCCUUAUUCCCUCCCCAGCUUCUCUUACAAUCCCUAACAUACAAACCAUACACACAGUUUAUAUAAUGACAGAAUCCGUCUUGAUGCCAAUCAGCCAGAAACAAGGCCAAUUAAUACUGAUCUGUGAUGGUAUAAACCAAGCAGUUAGCUGUUGACUAUUCUCCAGUAAACCUGUUUUUGCCCCAUUAGCCUUUACUUUUCCAAUGAAGAGAGAAAUUCCAAUAUUACAACUGUGCUUAAAGGAUAACAUUUGCACAGAUCAGCUCUCUUCAGUGAACUGCACAGCCUCAGGCACACAGCCCCACAGUUGUGGUCAGGACAAAUGAGAUGAUUUAAUCAUUAUUAUCAAUUUUUAACUCUAUUUGUACACUGAUCCUAAACCCUUUGGUUGCUUCACUGCUUUAUCAUGUAAGACACCAACAAGAACCUGCCUAAAAUUUAUUAGAACAAAUUAGUGAAAAAGGACCAAGUCAUUAGGAUUCAAUGGUACUCACCAAGAAUAAGACAUGCGAAUAAAAUUGUCACCAAA